CCAACGGCCCUCUUUAGGGCCACAAAUAUCCAAAAACCUGACAAU
Non-coding RNA from Caenorhabditis elegans, 45 nucleotides. The record is from Rfam. NCBI's taxonomy places the organism in Eukaryota, Metazoa, Nematoda, Chromadorea, Rhabditida, Rhabditidae.